This is a long non-coding RNA of Carassius auratus (goldfish), 449 nucleotides long. RefSeq lists it as uncharacterized. The record is from RefSeq and is a predicted model, not a curated record. The transcript has 5 exons. Lineage: Eukaryota; Metazoa; Chordata; Actinopteri; Cypriniformes; Cyprinidae.
GCAGAGUCCGCCAAAAUACCAGUGAAGAUCGCAAGUAAAAAGAUGAAAGCAACCCAUUGGCCCAAAUUUUUUUGUCUGCAUCAGAUACUGCAGCACACUCAGCUGACCCAAACCUGUUAGUCGAGCCCUCUGGAUCUGAUAAAGGCUCUGCACUACAACAGGGUUGGCAAAAAAGAUGUCCCACCCAAUGUGCUGCAGCAGCCUAGAAAGGCAAAGACAAAGGUGACGAUAUUCAGCACUUUAACAGAGGGAGAGGCGGAAGACCUUGCCAAGGGGUUUGGAAUGGCACUGACCAAACAUGUGCCAAAAGACAAACUACUUUCUGGGAUACCUGAAGAGGACAUCCCAGCAACACUUUAAGUGUGUCUGUGAGGACCAUUGAACAAAUGAAGAUUAAUGUGCAAAACCUUGGCCCUGAAUCAGAGCUGGAUUUGGCCACUCACCGCUUU